Molecule: ribosomal RNA, 460 nt
Filed under: uncultured bacterium
Lineage: Bacteria
Description: bacterial SSU rRNA
Rfam family: Bacterial small subunit ribosomal RNA
Source: RNAcentral
AACGAAUGCUGGCGGCAUGCCUAACACAUGCAAGUCGAACGGGAUCCAGGCUUCGGUCUGGUGAGAGUGGCGGACGGGUGAGUAACACGUGGGAACCUGCCUUUUGGUUCGGGAUAACCGCGGGAAACUGCGGCUAAUACCGGAUGCUCCCGAGAGGGGAAAGAUUUAUCGCCAGAAGAGGGGCCCGCGUCCGAUUAGGUAGUUGGUGAGGUAAUGGCUCACCAAGCCGACGAUCGGUAGCUGGUCUGAGAGGAUGAUCAGCCACACUGGGACUGAGAUACGGCCCAGACUCCUACGGGAGGCAGCAGUGGGGAAUAUUGGACAAUGGGGGCAACCCUGAUCCAGCAAUGCCGCGUGAGUGAUGAAGGCCUUAGGGUUGUAAAGCUCUUUUGCCAGGGAAGAUGAUGACUGUACCUGGAGAAUAAGCCCCGGCUAACUUCGUGCCAGCAGCCGCGGUAAU